GGGCGCCUCUCGGAGCGCUCUGCCUGCGCUGCUCUUCCCUGCCCCUUUGCCUCCCCGGGCUGGGAAGGGAGGCCUUGGCCUCUCCCGGCCACCCCGCCUCCCCCUCGAUUCCCGGGUCCCCGAGUAUUUCAUUGUCCUUGGUGGAAUUGCAGUCCAGUGGCAUCUCCGAGCUGACGUUUCUGGUCUUUUCAUGUGUAAAUACAGUGCGAGUUUGCUAGAUUUGAUUUUUUUUAAUGCUUUAGAAAUCGAGGGGAUUUCAAAGUUAAUCGUUUCCCACCUCUCCUAAAGUGGGAGCUGAAAAACCCAAGCAGAUCCCAAAACCAUCAAAUGCUUUGGUGCAGAACAAGGUGCUGUAAAUAAUGAAAGCAGUGGCCUUCACUCUUUAACUUUUUUCAGUUGUUACCUCCUCUCCUAUCUUAAGCAGGGAGGAUUAUAGGCUGGAGUCAAUUCCUGAUAGCUCUGUCAUGCACAUAGGUAGGCUGUGACCUGGGAUGAGGGAUUUCUGUGCGGGGGGGGGGGUUUCUGCAAGGGGAAGUGCUGAUCCCAAUUGCUGUAUUUUCCCCCCCAAAUAAAACGGUGGAAGAACUAAAAAUGAGCCGUGGGGAUUACAGAACUCAUGACGUGUGCAGCCCUUGCAGUGCAGCAAAGCUGCUGGUGGCAUUUGUUUAAUUGUAACCAGCUCUGCUGCUUCAACUAUCAUUUUACAUUUCAUUUGUUGGAGCUGUGAGGAGCCUCCUGGCUGGCUCUGGCUGGUAACCUUAGCCUCGACCUUCAGAGAGAUGCUGGCCUCCUUAGCCCUGCUCCUGGUCCCUCCUGCAGCAUCCUGGGCCAUUUCAGUCAAAACAGUGUUUUGUUUUGAUCUGGUGAUUGCGAAGGAGAGGGGAGCUGCUGUGAGAGAGCUGAGUGGGAGGACCUGUGUUGGCUUCUACAGAAAGAGCCCUAAAAUGGAAAAGGGACUCUGUGUACGCUGCCAAUGUUCAGGUUUGUAAGAAGUCACCACAGCGUGCGAAAAAAUAGGUCUGUGACCAUCUUUCAGGCGUGAUUUCUGAUGCGUUCUGCUGAGAGGAGCACUGAAACCAGGCUUUUAACUAGUAACUAUAGUGAUUUUAUUUUUUUUUCCUGAAAUUUGCAUUGUAGGUUUGCCUCGGCUGGUAUUUCCAAGGCCCUUUUGGUCCUGGAAGCUCAGGAACUACACGAGCUAAACCUGAGGAGGUGUCAGAGUCUUUUUUUUAAUGCGGGGUGGCCUCAUCCUGGUAACAUAGGAAGGCAGAGGCUGUUUGUGCUGAUGAGUAAUCUGCUGGCAGGUUCUGCCCCGUGCUGACAGCACCGGGGAGCGGAGCCCGUGUGUCACCGGGCCCUCCUGCUCGGCAGAGGUGGAAGCACAGAUUGCCUGGAAGAGGUUCCUCCCCUCCCUCCUCGCUGUCCAAAAGGAGCUGCUCCCUGGGGGGGCUUUUCCCUGCCACUCCUGUUUUCUUGGCUGGCCUCUGGGAUGGAGCACGGCCUAGGCUUGGCUGCAGCUCCUGGAUCCACACGGGCUGAGCAAGGCCUGUAAUACAGGUGCUGAGAUCUGUUCCUGCGAGGCAGAGGAAGUUUUUGUGGUGAAAUGGGCUACACAGGUGUUGUCCUCACAUUUAGACACUGCUGUGGGCAGUCUGAAAUCCUUCUGCCUGCUGAGUGAAGCCUCCAAGGGGACAAGAGCGAGGUGGCUUUGUGGGUUUGCAGCUUGUCACCUUUUCAUGGGAACAGAGAGGUGAAAAUGCCAUUUCCUCUGUAGGAAAGGGAGGUCAUCUGGGGAGGCAGCGUGGGGCAGAAGUGCCGCAGCUCUGCAUACGUGUGCCUGAGAGCUGGUGAACAGCAUUUUCUCCCUGACUCAGCUGGAGGCCUGGGGAGCUCGAGGGCGGCCUGGUCUCUGCACUCCUGACGUCUGAAUCCGCGGCUGGAAAACCUCUUUGUAUCUGCAGUGGUGCUUCAGCAGUUUUGAAAAGGCAACUUGUGAGCUCUUGGCUAUUUCUGCUAAAAGGAAAAGUCCCCUGGGAAGCACUUUGUAGGAGGAGUAUCCUGUCUGGGACGGAACACCUCUGGUCCAGUUGCUUUAGGAGGCAGAUGGGAGGUCUGUGUUUUGGUGCAUGUGAAGCCUAGAAAAUAAACGAGGUGCAAAGUGGCUUCAAAGAAGGAAUCUCUGAGAUGAUGGUGUGGGGGAGACUUGAGUUGCAUGACUGAGGAACUGGUUGAACCAGAACUUUUGGAAUGGCAGUGUUGGGAUUUCCCUCUCUCUGUCAGAGCUGUGCCUGGUCACCCUGAAUUCUGCUGAGCAACCCUGCUGCCAGGGGUGUGCCCUGCCUGGGGUGGAGGCCUGGAUGCAGCACCAGCGUGUGCCAGGUGGCAAAUGGCUCCACGUGCUCGUUGGCUCUGCAUAGAUUCCCCAGAAUAUCUGCUGUGAGUGCACCCCCACCCCUGAAAAAUAGUUGUGUCUGGUUACUGCUUUCCUGAGCAGGGAGGAUCAUUCCUUCCUUGGGGAAGGAAGUAGAUGGGAAUAACAUAGAAGGAAUUUGAGUGAUUGGCUGUGGUGGUGAGGUACCCGUGAAUCAGUGGGGUUUUUUACAGUGUGUUGCAAUAGGUGACUCGCAGUUGAGUCUUUGUAGCUGUCUUGCUCUAUGUUAGCACGAAUAAUCUCUUAAAAUUCCCCUCAAAGUUUGCACAGGGAUUAACUGCUGUGGGAGGUCAGUGCUGCUGGCCUUGGGGUCUGCGGGGGCAGGGUUAAAGCCACACAGUGAGGGGGGUGUUGUUACUGGUUUUGGGGUGUUCACUGAGCUGAGGUGAAUACCCAGGAGCUGCUGGAGUGUGUGGGUGAGUCGGGCUGCUGUCUUGCUGUUUUGUUAUGAAAAGAAACCAAAACAGUGUGAUCAAAUCAGAUGCUGCUCUUUGUUUCCGCCUGUGUGUAGGGAGAAAAAAACCAAAACAACAAAAACCCACCCCCAAACCCCACACUGGAGUUGUAAGGAGGUCAGUGUCUGUCUGAGAAGGAUCAAAGAAACACUGAGAGGGAUGUUGCCAUAAAUCAGGAAUUUGCUAAGGAGUUUGAGGGAUGUGCAUGUGUGGCAAAGUACCACAAGCCAUGGGUACUCCUGAGCUAAAGCAAGGUGGGGAUUGCCCCAGUGUCCCAUUUUUGAGGGGAGGCUGUGUUUUGUGUGACUCUGUGUACUCACAGUAUUGUAAGAGAGUGCUGAGCUGACCCAAGGUGUGUAAGUGCUGUUGGGGCACAUGUGUGAGCAGGAUUUUGGUUGUCUUGCUCUGCUUCUAGCAAAAGGUGCAGGCUGAGUUUCUUCACGUCUGUGAAAAGUCACUUUUAAAAUUAGUAGUAUCUUUUCUGAAGGUCUUUUCCCCUGAAAGUGAGUAAGUAGGGGAUUCAGGUUUAAUGAUUGUCAAAUAUCUCACUGAAGCUUUUCACGUUCAUGCCCAUGUGCUGCCUGCUAGUGUAGAUUUGAAAGCUUUUAAUGGCAGACAUUAUAAACCAGUGCAAAGUCAGCUUACAUUUGCCAGCUGUGUUUUUUCCUCUGUAUUGAAAAGAAGGACAUGGUGGGAAUAUUUCAUCCUGACUUCCCUUGGCAGAGCUGCAGGCCAGCAAAGGCUGUGAGUGCCCAACCUGUGCCUGGUGGGGAAGGGGGUCCCCUGGCUGCCUAACUGUGUGGUUGGGCUGUUUGCAGGGGGCUCUGCCCAGCUCACCCUUAGGGCUUCCUCCCCCUGCACUGCUGUGACCUGAAGUCACUAAAAUUACACCUGACCUUCUUCUGAAAUAAUCACACUUUAAAAGAAACCCCAUCUGAGGUAAGUUGUGCAGAUUUUCGUGGCCCUCAGCCCGAUUCCAGUGUAGUUGGGUUCAACACGUCGCUUUGAAGUGCAUUUUGCGAGUUUUUGCUUUCUAGCUUCAGCCGAGGGCCAGCUGCUAAUCAGCUGACCAGUGACAUUUGGAUUAGGAAUUAAACUGUUUCUCCUCUUGGAAUGGGCCAUGUGAUUUUUAUUUUUUUAUUUUUUUCCCCGUUGCUUUUCCUGUGUUCCGUGUGAGGCAGCACAUGUACCCUGUGCUCUGCACUGCUGGGUGGGAUGUGGGAUCCUCUGCGUUCCUGCAGUCUGGUUUUCUGAGGGUACAAGCCCUCAAGGCAAAUUUGUGAAGAGUCCCAAGGGAGUUAUUUGGUAAAUGUCGAGGUCUCCCAGGUGUUUUGGUGCUUUCAGCAGCACAGCUUCUGCUGGGACAGCGUGUACCGUGGCCUGAGAUGUAAUCAGGGAGGAAAAGCAGGUGUUAGUGGAUUUAAGUGUGUAAGGAGGUGUGUAGCCCAGAGACUCACAUGGCCUGGCCUGGCCUGUGGGCUUUGUGCAGCGUGUCAGAGAGGACAUCUGGGGUCGUACCUGGGGUGGCUGGUUCCUUCCAUGAGAGCUGGGGUAGCUAAGAGCACAUUUAAGGGCAGUGUCAGCCCAGUGCAGUCAUGGGAGGGUGAGUCCUCUGCAGUCAGCAACCCAGGAAGGAACCUUCCCUGAUAAACCAGUUUGUAAUUCAAGCAGUCCUGCAACAGCCUUAUGAAGUUGUCGGUAUCAGAAAGCUUAGUUUUGGGAUUGGGUGACCAGGCACAGCUCUGACAGAGAGAGGGAAAUCCCAACACUGCCAUUCCAAAAGUUGGGGGGCUGGGGGAAGCACAGGGUUUAACUCUCCAACUCUGAUCUUGCAGAAGUGUCCUAGAGGUUAGAAACAGGUUGCUGUUGUCUGGUUGCAACACCAGCACUGGCAUUGUGGGUCUCAGGAGAACAGGUACUGCCAUGAUGUUUUUAUUGUGUCUUCGGCCUUCUCCCCUUUGUGCAGGAGCUUGUCAGCAGCUGAGGAGAGCAGGUGGGAAGUUACAAAUGUGCUGAAGACAAGCUGGAAUCCACUUUGGAUUUAGCACUUGCUGCCUUCCAAGCUCACCCACCUGCAUUAAUCAUGACUAAUAAGGCAUCAGGACUGACUAGGUGCUGCACACUGGCACUGGGAGCUGCUUCCUUUGAAGGUGACUUUUUUUCAGUGAAAACAGUGGUUUUUGGCCAAGCUGAGGCUGUGCCCGCUGGAAGGGCAGCAUGCCAACUGCAGGGUUUGUGCUGCUUCUCUGAAAAGUCACAACCAAUUUGCCCUCACUUGGAUGAAGUGUUUACUUGUGUUCCACAUGUGGAAGGAGACAGGAAGUCUCUGAGGAGAACAUGCCAUAAGCAAACUCAGUUUAUGGAGGAGUUGUCUCUUGAUAACGAGAGGUAACUGGAUAGAUAAGUUUCCCAGGAAAGGCUGCCUGCCUGCCUUCUUGGAUGGGGGAAGCACAGGAUGUCCUUGUGGUGGUACUGUGCUGGAAGUGUACCUCCUUGGAUCACAUACUGACUGCUGUACUUGGGGAGUGUGGGAACAACACUGACAGUGAUUUACAAGCACAGGGAAAAGAUCUGGAAAGGCUUAAGUGAGGCACUGCAAGGUAAUUGUCUCUCACUUGUGGCUUUUUAUCAUUAUGGAAACUUUCUCCUUUUGUAGGAGGUCCAGGAAUUGCCACGGAGCGCAGUGAAGGUUAUUGUUGGCUGCCUCCAGGGUGAUGCAGCAGAGUGGAGGCACAGGGGAGCUGCUGCAGCUCCUCCAAGGCUUACAGUGGAAGUUCGAGGACUAAAAUUGUCACAAUAGAGAGGGACUGAGUCUGCCUUGCCAAAUAAUGUGUUUGGAGGCAGCGUGUCUUGCUGCAGAGUAAUAAAACACUGUUCCAUCA
This is a long non-coding RNA of Pseudopipra pipra, 5768 nucleotides long. RefSeq lists it as uncharacterized. The record is from RefSeq and is a predicted model, not a curated record. Lineage: Eukaryota; Metazoa; Chordata; Aves; Passeriformes; Pipridae. The transcript has 2 exons.